GGGGGUAUGUUCUAACCUGGCAUGAUUCGAGCUUUGGGAGCUUGCGAUCCCGGUUCAAAUCCGGGUACCCUCA
RNAcentral lists this transfer RNA (73 nucleotides) under Candidatus Woesearchaeota archaeon. RNAcentral's name for it is "tRNA-Pro". It matches the Rfam family "tRNA". Rfam says of the family: Transfer RNA (tRNA) molecules are approximately 80 nucleotides in length. Their secondary structure includes four short double-helical elements and three loops (D, anti-codon, and T loops). Further hydrogen bonds mediate the characteristic L-shaped molecular structure. tRNAs have two regions of fundamental functional importance: the anti-codon, which is responsible for specific mRNA codon recognition, and the 3' end, to which the tRNAs corresponding amino acid is attached (by aminoacyl-tRNA synthetases). tRNAs cope with the degeneracy of the genetic code in two manners: having more than one tRNA (with a specific anti-codon) for a particular amino acid; and 'wobble' base-pairing, i.e. permitting non-standard base-pairing at the 3rd anti-codon position. The record is from RNAcentral. Lineage: Archaea; Nanobdellati; Candidatus Woesearchaeota.